UGCCUCCAGGUGCUGGAGUUAACAGG
This 26-nucleotide non-coding RNA is filed under the name Mus musculus (house mouse). The record is from RNAcentral. Lineage: Eukaryota; Metazoa; Chordata; Mammalia; Rodentia; Muridae.